CCGAGUUAUCAACUCCCAAACCCCUGUGAACAUACCCAACGUUGCUUCGGCGGGACCGCCCCGGCGCCCUCGGCGUCCCGGAACCAGGCGCCCGCCGGAGGACCCAAACUCUUGUUUAAACCAUAGUGGCAUAUUCUGAGUCUCCCAAGUUAAAUAUGAAU
RNAcentral lists this ribosomal RNA (161 nucleotides) under Tolypocladium tundrense. Lineage: Eukaryota; Fungi; Ascomycota; Sordariomycetes; Hypocreales; Ophiocordycipitaceae. The record is from RNAcentral.